CAGCCGCCGCGGUAAUACGUAGGUGGCAAGCGUUGUCCGGAAUUAUUGGGCGUAAAGGGCUCGCAGGCGGUUUCUUAAGUCUGAUGUGAAAGCCCCCGGCUCAACCGGGGAGGGUCAUUGGAAACUGGGAAACUUGAGUGCAGAAGAGGAGAGUGGAAUUCCACGUGCAGCGGUGAAAUGCGUAGAGAUGUGGAGGUACACCAGUGGCGAAGGCGACUCUCUGGUCUGUAACUGACGCUGAGGAGCGAAAGCGUGGGGAGCGAACAGGAUUAGAUACCCCAGUAGUCCCUGUCUCUUAUAC
This 301-nucleotide ribosomal RNA is filed under the name uncultured bacterium. RNAcentral's name for it is "partial 16S ribosomal RNA". It matches the Rfam family "Bacterial small subunit ribosomal RNA", at positions 509 to 807 of the family's 1533-position model. The record is from RNAcentral.